CUUUUUUUUUUCAUUUUGCUGCGACCACUAGCAGUAUAUUGGUGAGGGUGUUUCAUUCUUUUAUUUUAUUUUAUGUUAUGGUGAGGGUGUUUCAUUCAUUCAUCAUUCAUGUGCUGGAAAUUUGGAACGAGAGAGCUUUAAUUCACUCUCAGAGAGUCUGAGUCAGUUUCCUGAUCAACGGCGGUAUCAGCAUAUGAAAUAUGAAUUUGACAGUGUGAGUGGGGAACUGCAU
Molecule: long non-coding RNA, 232 nt
Filed under: Linum usitatissimum (flax)
Lineage: Eukaryota; Viridiplantae; Streptophyta; Magnoliopsida; Malpighiales; Linaceae
Description: long non-coding RNA (LUSI_LNC006236)
Source: RNAcentral